RNAcentral lists this unclassified non-coding RNA (282 nucleotides) under Hevea brasiliensis (rubber tree). Lineage: Eukaryota; Viridiplantae; Streptophyta; Magnoliopsida; Malpighiales; Euphorbiaceae. The record is from RNAcentral.
GUCACAGGACUUGCCAUGUCAAGAGUAAAUGGCUUCUCUUGUUACUUCUCUUAGAUACUAGAUCCUUUAUGAAAUUCAGUGUUGAUUUAGUUAUGUGUAUUAUUUGUUUAAAGUUCUCCCACAAGUACUCAGAUUGCUUUGAUUUCAGAAAUGAAUUAAUUGCAUGCCUGUGUUAUUUUUGGGAGGCUCUGCAGUCUGUAUUCUUUUGGCUAGUGUUUAUGGAAGCCUUUAAUGGUGAGAGAUUUCAUUUCAUUGCAGUCUACUAACAAGAAAGUUGUGAAA